GACGAACGCUGGCGGCGUGCUUAACACAUGCAAGUCGAACGGAAAGGCCCUGCUUGCAGGGUGCUCGAGUGGCGAACGGGUGAGUAACACGUGGGUGAUCUGCCCCUUACUUUGGGAUAAGCCUGGUAAACUGGGUCUAAUACUGGAUAGGACCAUGCUGUAGGUGGUGUGUUGGAAAGAUUAGUUUCGGUAAGGGAUGAGCUCGCGGCCGAUCAGCUUGUUGUUGGGGUAAUGGCCUAACAAGGCGUCGACGGGUAGCCGGCCUGAGAGGGUGGACGGCCACAUUGGGACUCCGAUACGGCCCAGAAUCCUACGGGAGGCAGCAGUGGGGAAUAUUGCAAAAUGGGCGCAAGCCUGAUGCAGCGACGCCCCGUGGGGGAUGAAGGCCUUCGGGUUGUAAACUCCUUUCAGCCAUGACGAAGCCCUUGUGGUGACGGUAGUGUUAGAAGAAGCACCGGCUAACUACGUG
Molecule: ribosomal RNA, 469 nt
Filed under: uncultured bacterium
Lineage: Bacteria
Description: partial 16S ribosomal RNA
Rfam family: Bacterial small subunit ribosomal RNA
Source: RNAcentral